Molecule: ribosomal RNA, 478 nt
Filed under: uncultured bacterium
Lineage: Bacteria
Description: partial 16S ribosomal RNA
Rfam family: Bacterial small subunit ribosomal RNA
Source: RNAcentral
GACGAACGCUGGCGGCGUGCUUAACACAUGCAAGUCGAACGGUAAAGCCCUUCGGGGUACACGAGUGGCGAACGGGUGAGUAACACGUGGGUGAUCUGCCCUGCACUUCGGGAUAAGCCUGGGAAACUGGGUCUAAUACCGGAUAGGACCACUGCCUGCAUGGGUGGUGGUGGAAAGCCUUUGCGGUGUGGGAUGGGCCCGCGGCCUAUCAGGUUGUUGGUGGGGUGAUGGCCGACCAAGGCGACGACGGGUAGCCGGCCUGAGAGGGUGACCGGCCACACUGGGACUGAGAUACGGCCCAGACUCCUACGGGAGGCAGCAGUGGGGAAUAUUGCACAAUGGGCGCAAGCCUGAUGCAGCGACGCCGCGUGAGGGAUGACGGCCUUCGGGUUGUAAACCUCUUUCAGCACCGACGAAGCGCAAGUGACGGUAGGUGCAGAAGAAGGACCGGCCAACUACGUGCCAGCCGCCGCCGUAA